GAUGAACGCUGGCGGCGUGCCUAACACAUGCAAGUCGAGCGUGAUUAAAUGGAUUGGAGAGCUUGCUCAAAGAGAAAUUUAUGAAAGCGGCGGACGGGUGAGUAACGCGUGGGCAACCUGCCCUGUGCGAGGGGGAUAGCCACUGGAAACGGUGAUUAAUACCCCAUGGAGCUAUUGAGUCGCAUGACUCGAUGGUGAAAGUUCCGGCGGCACAGGAUGGGCCCGCGUCUGAUUAGCUAGUUGGUGAGGUAACGGCUCACCAAGGCGACGAUCAGUAGCCGACCUGAGAGGGUGAACGGCCACACUGGAACUGAGACACGGUCCAGACUCCUACGGGAGGCAGCAGUGGGGAAUAUUGCACAAUGGGCGCAAGCCUGAUGCAGCAACGCCGCGUGAGUGAAGAAGGCUUUUGGGUCGUAAAGCUCUGUCCUAGGGGAAGAAUAAAUGACGGUACCCUGGGAGGAAGCCCCGGCUAACUACGUGCCAG
RNAcentral lists this ribosomal RNA (487 nucleotides) under uncultured bacterium. RNAcentral's name for it is "bacterial SSU rRNA". It matches the Rfam family "Bacterial small subunit ribosomal RNA", at positions 28 to 511 of the family's 1533-position model. The record is from RNAcentral.